GAUGAACGCUGGCGGCGUGCUUAACACAUGCCAGUCGAACGAUGAUGCCCAGCUUGCUGGGUGGAUUAGUGGCGAACGGGUGAGUAACACGUGAGUAACCUGCCCUUGACUCUGGGAUAAGCCUGGGGAACUGGGUCUAAUACCGGAUACGACCAUCUGGCGCAUGUCAUGGUGGUGGAAAGCUUUUGUGGUUUUGGAUGGACUCGCGGCCUAUCAGCUUGUUGGUGGGGUAAUGGCCUACCAAGGCGACGACGGGUAGCCGGCCUGAGAGGGUGACCGGCCACACUGGGACUGAGACACGGCCCAGACUCCUACGGGAGGCAGCAGUGGGGAAUAUUGCACAAUGGGCGCAAGCCUGAUGCAGCGACGCCGCGUGAGGGAUGACGGCCUUCGGGUUGUAAACCUCUUUCAGUAGGGAAGAAGCGAAAGUGACGGUACCUGCAGAAGAAGCGCCGGCUAACUACGUG
RNAcentral lists this ribosomal RNA (467 nucleotides) under uncultured bacterium. RNAcentral's name for it is "partial 16S ribosomal RNA". It matches the Rfam family "Bacterial small subunit ribosomal RNA", at positions 28 to 507 of the family's 1533-position model. The record is from RNAcentral.